This is an RNA transcript of Pyrus x bretschneideri (Chinese white pear), 3047 nucleotides long. RefSeq lists it as uncharacterized. The record is from RefSeq and is a predicted model, not a curated record. The transcript has 2 exons. NCBI's taxonomy places the organism in Eukaryota, Viridiplantae, Streptophyta, Magnoliopsida, Rosales, Rosaceae.
CCCUCAUAUCAGAUUUUGAAACCAUUCGAAUUUGCUUCCCACUCAACUCAACCAUUUGAAUCCCACACACACAAAUCCAGAUUCGAAACAGAAACAGAAAAAGAAACAUAAACCCCCUUCAUCUGCUAUUCACUCAUUCCGUUCCAGAUCUUUACUGCAUUAAAGCCUCUCACAAGUUGAUGAUAAGGGGAAAUGGAGGACGUAUAUGAAGAACUAGACGAAGCUAAAGCAGAGGUGGAGAGGCUUAAGACUGAAGUCCGGGUUAAGACUGAACUCUCUAAUGCUUUGAAGAAAGCUCACAAUGAGCAGUUGAUCAAGUUUCAAGAAGCGAAGCGGGAGAAUGAGAAACAAGCUCAAGAACUAAAUGUCAAGCUUGAGGAAAUUUCUCAAUCAAGGCAGGCUUCUGAAACCCUCCAGUCUCGUUUGCUUGAAAAAGAAUCGUUGCUUAGGCAUUUGACUACUUUGCAUGAAAAACUCCGAGCUGAUAGUGAGAAGAAAUUGCAAGAAUUGGAAGGGGAAAAUAGAGAGUUAGUAUCUGCCUUAGAUGAAGCUACUGAGAGAAACGUAGAGUUGGAGCAGAAUUUUGGUGCAAGUACUAAAGAGAUUGAGGGCCUUAAAAGACUCUUAUCGACUAUAGAGAGGAAGUGUUUCGAGGCAGAGCAGAAAGCUCGUGAAGCCAAAGAACUGAGACAAAGAGAUGAUGUCAUAAUGGGGUUAGAGGAGGAAAAUAGAAAUGCUCAAGAUCAGCUGAAAUGGAAAAAAGAACAGUUUACACAUCUUGAAGAAGCGCAUAGACGGCUCCGAGCUGAGUUCCAGUUGGCUAAAGAGGAGUGGGAGAGGGAAAAAUCAGCACUGCUUGAAGAGCUCUCUUUGUUGCAGACAAACUUGGAUUCCCAAACUAGAAUUCUUGAAGGCGUUCAAAAACGUUUGGAAAUGUGCAACCAUGCUUUAGCUCAUGAAGAAAGCAAGAGGAAGUUUUUGGAGGUUGAAGUGUCUGAAUUCAGAUCACGUUACGAAAAUGUGUUUGCCCAGUGUGAAGAAGAAAGGUCAAAGUUUGAUAGCUUGACUGUUCGAAGGGAUGAAGAGAUUGCUAAGCUAAGAAACUCACUGUCAACAAAAGAAUCACUCUCCAAAGAAACGGAAUUUAGAAUUGUUCACCUUGAGCAAGAGAAUCGGGAAUUGAGAGAAUCUAUAAAAGAACUGCAGGAAGCUCAAAUCAGAAAUUGUGCCCCAGCUUCUCUAACAAAGUUGCGAAACAAGCUUAGGGGCAUGGAGCAGACACAUAGCAACUGUUCCACAAAUCUGAAAGCAAAAGAAUCUGAAGUGAGUCUCCUAAUAGAGAAGAUGAAAGGAGAUGAAAGCAGGCACAAUUUUGAAUUGAAGGAUAGAGAGGAGCAAAUACAGAAGCUUCAGAUGGAGCUAAAAAGCUGCCAUUCAGUGAUCGACGUUUUAAAUGUAGAGAUUUCAGUACUACUUACGAUCUUUAAAUCAGAACUCUCAGAGGCUUACUCCAACAAAUCUGAUGAAAGCACUGAGAUGGAGCUGUGUAAUAGAAUGGAUGACAAGAUCUCUCUACUUCAAACAGAGUUGGAGAUGAAGAACAGUGAUUUAAGAAAUGCUCAUCUUAAGCUUGAACAAGAGCACGUCAAAGCAGAAAUGCUAAUGAAGAGGGUAAGGUCCUUGGAACUCGCUGAACAGCAGCAGGUGAUCAUGGAGGAAGAGGUUCAACGACUUAAAAAGAUGCUUGAGGAAUCAUCUGUGCAUCAACUUUACAUGAAAGAACAAUUAGUGCAGAUGGAAAUGGAGAAACGAGAAGUAUCUUUGGCUUUAGAAAAGGCAAAUCUUGAAUUGGCUGAGGAAGUUUGUGAAGCAAGUCUGCUAGAAUUUGAAUUACAGAAUUGGAAAUCUCGAGCUGAAAGAUUGAAAGUGUGCUGGCAUGGAAAUCAAGAAAAAUGUAGACAAAUGGAGGAUUCACUUCUUGCACAAGCUGAGUAUGAAGAAACCCUUAUGCACGAGAAAGACAGCCUCAUCACCAUUAUCAAAGAGGAGACUAAAAAAAGGGAAGUUUUGCAGCAGAAGAUUGUCCUUCUAGAAGCUACAGUUGCAGCAAAGAACGAGGAAGUGGAAUUCAUCCCAGAAAUCACAGAGAACCUUAUGAAAAUGCGCAGGAGAAGGAUAGCUGCAUAGAAAAACUCCAAAAUGAUAUCAUGCAGAUGGAGCAAGAGGCCAUGACAAGAGAAGUGGAAGCAGCAAUUUUUGCAAGCAUUGACGCAGAGAAAACCGUUGGACUAGAGAAAGACAAGCUUUUCAAGGUUAUAAAUGAGAAAGAUGAGGAAAUAAAAAAUCUUCAGGUACUGGCAUCGUCAUUAGAGCAAGACUUGACAAGUGCAUUUAUAUCGUCCUUCUCAGAAGUUGUAGAAAAUUUGGUUACAAUUGAAAAGCUUACUGAAGCUUUGAAGGAGGCCAAACAUAUGACAGAGCUAGAGAUUGAAGAGAAGAACACAAAACUCAUUGAGUUGGAGAAGGAAGUAUCUGGUUUGCGAAAAAGUUUGAAAAAUCAGGAGGAAGCCUUGUUUACUGAAAAACGACAAGCAGUUGGACUUCAAGCAUUAUUGGAAGCCAACAAACUGGAAAAUGACAAACUGAUGGGUGAACAGAGGAGACUGGAAGGCAUAGCCAAACAGCUUGAGUUUGAAAAACGGGUUCUCUUUCAAGACACCGCAAGUCUAUCAAAAGACAGGGAGCACGUUCUUGUUCACUUUGAAGAAUUCUGUGAUCGUAUGGGUGAAUUCACUUGUGAGGAUGUGGAGAUGAUGAAUCUUUUGGAUACAAUAUUGCAAACGUGCAAGGAAGAGGUGAAACCAGCAAUGAAUUUGAAAGUGGAUAACGAGCUCUAUGAUUCUACCCAAGAGAAUGAAAACAAUUCUAUAUCACCCUCAGCAAGAAAACUUGAAGCAUGUAUUACUGGAAGAUCACCACUGAAAGAAAUGAAUCAGCAGGAGUUUGUAACUAAGAGAAGGAAUACAAGUUUUCACUAAAGAAUAUGA